GAAGGUGGCCUGUGAGGGUUGCUGGAGGUAUCAGAAGUGCGAAUGCUGACAUAAGUAACGAUAAAGCGGGUGAAAAGCCCGCUCGCCGGAAGACCAAGGGUUCCUGUCCAACGUUAAUCGGGGCAGGGUGAGUCGACCCCUAAGGCGAGGCCGAAAGGCGUAGUCGAUGGGAAACGGGUUAAUAUUCCCGUACUUGGUGUUACUGCGAAGGGGGGACGGAGAAGGCUAUGUUGGCCGGGCGACGGUUGUCCCGGUUUAAGCGUGUAGGUGUGUGUUCCAGGUAAAUCCGGUUCACUUUAACACUGAGGCGUGAUGACGAGGCACUACGGUGCUGAAGCAACAAAUGCCCUGCUUCCAGGAAAAGCCUCUAAGCAUCAGGUAACAUCAAAUCGUACCCCAAACCGACACAGGUGGUCAGGUAGAGAAUACCAAGGCGCUUGAGAGAACUCGGGUGAAGGAACUAGGCAAAAUGGUGCCGUAACUUCGGGAGAAGGCACGCUGACAUGUAGGUGAAGUGAUUUACUCACGGAGCUGAAGUCAGUCGAAGAUACCAGCUGGCUGCAACUGUUUAUUAAAAACACAGCACUGUGCAAACACGAAAGUGGACGUAUACGGUGUGACGCCUGCCCGGUGCCGGAAGGUUAAUUGAUGGGGUCAGCGCAAGCGAAGCUCCUGAUCGAAGCCCCGGUAAACGGCGGCCGUAACUAUAACGGUCCUAAGGUAGCGAAAUUCCUUGUCGGGUAAGUUCCGACCUGCACGAAUGGCGUAAUGAUGGCCAGGCUGUCUCCACCCGAGACUCAGUGAAAUUGAACUCGCUGUGAAGAUGCAGUGUACCCGCGGCAAGACGGAAAGACCCCGUGAACCUUUACUAUAGCUUGACACUGAACAUUGAGCCUUGAUGUGUAGGAUAGGUGGGAGGCUUUGAAGUGUGGACGCCAGUCUGCAUGGAGCCGACCUUGAAAUACCACCCUUUAAUGUUUGAUGUUCUAACGUGGACCCGUGAUCCGGGUUGCGGACAGUGUCUGGUGGGUAGUUUGACUGGGGCGGUCUCCUCCUAAAGAGUAACGGAGGAGCACGAAGGUUGGCUAAUCCUGGUCGGACAUCAGGAGGUUAGUGCAAUGGCAUAAGCCAGCUUGACUGCGAGCGUGACGGCGCGAGCAGGUGCGAAAGCAGGUCAUAGUGAUCCGGUGGUUCUGAAUGGAAGGGCCAUCGCUCAACGGAUAAAAGGUACUCCGGGGAUAACAGGCUGAUACCGCCCAAGAGUUCAUAUCGACGGCGGUGUUUGGCACCUCGAUGUCGGCUCAUCACAUCCUGGGGCUGAAGUAGGUCCCAAGGGUAUGGCUGUUCGCCAUUUAAAGUGGUACGCGAGCUGGGUUUAGAACGUCGUGAGACAGUUCGGUCCCUAUCUGCCGUGGGCGCUGGAGAACUGAGGGGGGCUGCUCCUAGUACGAGAGGACCGGAGUGGACGCAUCACUGGUGUUCGGGUUGUCAUGCCAAUGGCACUGCCCGGUAGCUAAAUGCGGAAGAGAUAAGUGCUGAAAGCAUCUAAGCACGAAACUUGCCCCGAGAUGAGUUCUCCCUGAGACUU
This 1588-nucleotide ribosomal RNA is filed under the name Salmonella enterica subsp. enterica serovar Oranienburg. RNAcentral's name for it is "bacterial LSU rRNA". It matches the Rfam family "Bacterial large subunit ribosomal RNA", at positions 1252 to 2823 of the family's 2925-position model. Lineage: Bacteria; Pseudomonadati; Pseudomonadota; Gammaproteobacteria; Enterobacterales; Enterobacteriaceae. The record is from RNAcentral. RNAcentral also lists the same sequence under 1 other name.